CUACGGGACGCUGCAGUCGAGGAUAUUUUACAAUGCUCGAAAGAGUGAUAAAAUGAGCCAGAGUGUUUCUCCUAGAGAAACUUUUAUUUGCUGUAAAAAGGCAGAUGAAUAAGGACUGGGCAAGACCGGUGCCAGCCGCCGCGGUAAUACCGGCGGUCCAAGUUGCAUCCACAUUUAUUGAGUCUAAAACAUUCGUAGCUUGUUUUAUAAGUCUCUUGUGAAAUUUUAUAUCUUAAGUAUAAAGCAUGCAAGAGGUACUGUAUUACUAGAGACCGGAAGACGCAAAGAGUAUGAUUGAGGUAGCGGUAAAAUGUGUUAAUCUCAAUUAGACUAACAAUGGCGAAGGCACUUUGCGAGUACGGAUCUGACAGUGAGGAAUGAAGGCUAGGGGCGCAAAAGGGAUUAGAUACCCUAGUAGUC
RNAcentral lists this ribosomal RNA (420 nucleotides) under uncultured archaeon. Its description in RNAcentral is "partial 16S ribosomal RNA". It matches the Rfam family "Archaeal small subunit ribosomal RNA", at positions 323 to 746 of the family's 1478-position model. The record is from RNAcentral.